AUGAUGCUCAUUACAAAUCCUCAGAGCAUGAAUGAAACGGGCUGAACUUCUUCUACAUCAGUUGGAUGUGGAUCAAUCUAAGGAGAGAAGAAAGACAACAAUUACUGCCCGAAAUUCCUGCAUUUAGGUAUCUGUACUCCCAGAGGCAAUGUGGUUUCCUCGGACAUUGGCAACCAUCUGACGGAAGGUUUUUGUCUUCCCACUGGCCAGAAUGUGGGUAUGAUGCCUUCAAACUCCUAACUACUGAAGAUAAAGACCAUUCUGCUUACAGAUGUCACUGCCAAAAUACCCUGAGUUCUCUCUAGAAUGGAUUAAAAUGUAAGGAUGUAAUGAGGGGGAAAAAAAGCCUGCUCAAAACAUCUCUUUUCUAUGUUCACGUCAUGAUGUUAAAAUUAUCCUACCAUUUUAAAUAAAAUAGAAAUGACUCAUU
Onychostruthus taczanowskii (white-rumped snowfinch) is the source of this 430-nucleotide long non-coding RNA. RefSeq lists it as uncharacterized. The transcript is spliced from 3 exons. The record is from RefSeq and is a predicted model, not a curated record. NCBI's taxonomy places the organism in Eukaryota, Metazoa, Chordata, Aves, Passeriformes, Passeridae.